GCCGGUGCAGCAAGGCGCGGAUCACGGCGCCCGGCCUUCAGCGUCGGGCGCGGCCGCGCCCAGGUCGCGGCGCCGGCCC
RNAcentral lists this transfer RNA (79 nucleotides) under Achromobacter denitrificans. RNAcentral's name for it is "tRNA-Sec". RNAcentral also lists the same sequence under 1 other name. Lineage: Bacteria; Pseudomonadati; Pseudomonadota; Betaproteobacteria; Burkholderiales; Alcaligenaceae. The record is from RNAcentral.